GUCCCCCUUUAAAGAAAGUUGUAAGUAAAACCAGGCAGCAGUUGCAGUAAAUUGAGUCCUUUCAGUCACUGUAUACAUGCAGCAGUUCUGCAAUAAGGGAAAAAAUAUAAUGGGAGGAGCAGCUGUGAACGAGUGACCUCCUGAAGCUGAGUUCUCUUUGUGAAUCAAGCACGGGGAGCCAGUGCCUCUGAUUUGCAUGGAUUAUCUCCACUUGAACAGAUACAUUUAAAUUAACUGGCACAGGGGCACAGAGAUAAAAAGAAAAAAAAAAGGGGGGGGGGGGGGGGGGGGAGGAAAAGUAAGUGAGUGAGGGAAGGAGAACAGGAGCGAAGGAGAGCGGGGAAGAAGAGAGGAGAGCAGACGCUCAGCUGGGUACGCAGCUCAGGCAGAGCUGUACCUCGGAAGAGCUACAGCUCCCUCUUCAUGUCACUGCUGCGAGAUGAGGAAAGCUGUCAUUAUGGCCGAGUUGGGUAUGUGUUAAUCUCUGGAGUGACUGGAUAUCUCUUGUGUGGCCCCUGGCUUAAGGGCUGGGGGUAACAGGAAGGAAGGAAGCAAUUAAUUAAUAUUGUGAUGACUUUCAAAUUGAAAGAGCAGCAUUUUGUACAUGAUUUGGAUAUUAACAAAAGUUUCUUCUCAGGAAGAGUGGAGAUGCACUGGCACAGGUCACUAUCCCUGGAGGCAAUCAAGAACUGUGGAGAUGUGGCACUGAGGGGCAUGGUGGAGACAGAUUGGACACAAUGAACUUAAUGAUCCUUUCCAACCUUGAUGAUGCUGUGAUGCUGUGCAGACUUUUGUGAUCCUCCACAUGCAGUCAUACUGCUUGGAAAUUAUCCCAAAAGUUAGGAAAGCAAAGUAGAACAGCUGAUCACACAUUUCCUGAGUCAGCAGUCAAAAAUACGAAGGAAUAUGAAACCUACUCAUUGAGAAAUAGUAUCUGGUGAGAUUUGGUGGGACAAAUUGUCCUGUAUUGGCAGUUAAAACUGUUCAGCUGAACUCUGGCUUGUAGGAAUGUUGUCUUCUGCAAAAUACUGCUUGUUCGUUGAUCAAUAACCUGAAACUGUAAAGACAACAAGGGCUAAACUCUGUCUCCAGCUCAUUUGUGGAUUGAGCUCAGUCCAACAAACAUUUGUUGUGUUUCCAUUGCUGAACCAUGUUUCUAAGGAAAAGCCUAUGGAGUUUUCUCUGCAGGAUCCAACAUUUACUUAUAAUGCAGAUUCCAAAAUGAUGCCUCUGCCUGAACAGAAUAUAUGGUAAUAACAGAUUAAUUUGACUCCUGCGGAGCACUGAGAAGCCAAGUGUUAAUGUCAAACCUGUAUAUAGUAGCUGUGGAAAGCUGCAUCCUGACUGAGGGCUUUGAAAAAUAUGGACUGUGAACCAAAUUUGCUCCUGUUUCUCUUUACUCCCUGAUAUGCUUGUCAGCAUUUCAGAAUGCCAAGCUAAUAAUGGCAUAACAAUUCAGUCCCAAGAAACCAUAUGCCCACAAACAUAAAGAAAUAACCAACAAUGAGGGCGGCCUUCACCUUAAAAGUACAGUAAGAAGAAAUGACAAUGUAAGGAAUCAAGACAGUUGUGGAUGAUACAUGACAAUAAGGACAGUACAAACUGGUUGCGGAAACUGUGGGAUGUGUCUUAUUCUCUGGAAAGAUUUGUAUGCCUGAAGUGUCAUCUGCUAAAAUUCACGAAGAGAAGACCUUAAGAGAGAUGUGGCUGGAGGCAAUGUUAAAUGAAGUCGUGGAUUUGGGAAAAGGUGUAAGAGAAAGAAAACUGAAUAGGGCAACUGGGAAUUUACAGACCCUUGCUGAGUGAGAGGACUUGUGAGAGAAAAAGAACAAGCAGAACAACAGGGAGAUAGAGAAAAGUUAAAAAAUAUGUUUGCCAUCUGGGAGACAAGAAAAAUACAACAGACAAAACCAAAACAGAAGGUAGAAAAAAAGUGAAAAAGUUAAUUCUAGCAGAGUGCUGGAGACUAGAAGCCAAAGAUGAGUAAGAAUGGUAGAGUAGUUUGUGAGGAAAAAGAACAAGAGGCAGGAUAAUUUAUGAACAGAGUGUAAAGUAAAUUAAGAAAAAAAUUAAUGCCUACAUGCAUUUUGAGUCUGUUAAAGAAAAACAACGAAUACAGGAAAAUCCUUUUCUGUAUAUAUAAAUAAAUACAUAUACAUAUAUAUUUAUUCACAGUGGGAAAGGGAUGCAAGGAAAUUUCCACUGGACUAAAUCAAAUAUAAUUAAAGUAAAUAAUUUCGUUUUAGGUAGGGAAAAAAUGACAAAAAAGCAAAGCUCAUGGGAACUGUAUCUCACUGAAUAACCAUGGAAAAAGUGGGAUUGAAAUGCAUAUUAUUAAAGCAAAACAAAUCUUAAGAAAUACAAGCAAAUCUUGGUAGAUAUUCAUGUAAUCUUCAUGCCUUCUUACUGUACACAACCAGAAGAAAAUCUGGUCAACAAAAAUUCAACUAUGCUAGAGGAAUUACCAGUGGAUAAUCAGGAAAGAGGCAAAUAUUAUAUAGUAGGAGCAAGGCAUUGAAGAGUACAUAUUAUUCAGGAAAGAUGUGAUUAAAACAGGUGACCUUGUAAAGCUGCCUUCUAGUAAUGUGGCAGAUUGCUUGGGCCAAAUUAAUGAAUGCGUUUACCAAGAAGUCAAAAGCCAGGGAAAUAUGAAACUAUUUCUGUCUUUUUUCUAAUAUACAAUACAGUUACUGUGAAGAAACUGUUCAAAAAACUCAUGAAUUCACUCAUUAAAAUGAAAUGGAAUAAUCAGUAAAAAUGAGGCUUUAUAUUUCAGGGGACAGAUUUGGUAACCUAAAAGGUCUUGUGAGUGAAAUCAAAUAGACUGAUCUAUACAGGGUUUUGAACGUGGAGAAGUCUUGGAAUUAUUUUACAUUUAAGUUGAUAAACCUGCGUGGAAUGUAUAUCUGAAGGAAUGGAGAAAUUUGUGAGAAAGUGGUCAAGCUAUUCCAUGCAAAUGAAGAACUUUCUCAAGAAGAAUAUUAGAGAAAAGACUUAUCAGCAGACACAGAUGUGUUUUAGAGGUCAGAAGUAGAAAGUACAGUGAAAAGUGUCAGUAGUCAAACUGAACUGCAAUUUUGCAUGGAUAUUAAACAGCAGAACAGUCACAGUUAAGCAAGAUGAGAACAAAUAAAACAUGGGACAUCUAUACAAAGAGGGUUAAGUGAAAAUAAAUAAAUAUCUAUUUAAAAUAAAAAAACUCAGUGACUACUUAGCGUAAGUUUUCAGUAAUAUUGACCACAGAGGAAACAGGAUAAAUAAUAGGAAUGAAGUCAAAAUUAUAGAAAUUAGGAAACUGGAAACAAAGCUAAAAGCACAGUGCAUUUAGACUGGGGAGGGAUAUCAAAUAAACCCUAUCCCACAACCACAAGAAAGAGAACAUGAAACUCCAAACCCAAUUGGAAGGAUCCCAGACAUGUCUGACUGGGUAACAGCAAAUGCAUUAUCUGUUUCUGAGAGAGAGGCCUAUGCAGUUACGAACCCCUUAGCUUGACCUCACUUGCUUUAGAAAAAAUGUUGAAGGAAAAAUGUAAUUGAAGGCAGGGUGGUAAAUGGAAAAUGGGAUAGCAUGCAAAAAGGAUUUACUAAAGAUAGAUUGUGCCAAGUAAAUGUGUUAUCUCUCUUUAAUGAGAUAACUGAUUUCUAGACAAAGGAUUUGUGAUACAUCUUAUUUAUAUCUGUGCUGCGUAUGAUACAGCAUCACAUAGGAAACCAGGGAUUAGGAGAAGAGUUGUAAAGUGGGUAAGAAGAGAUUGUCUAACAGAUAGAUGGCAACAGGUGGUAUUGAAAGAAGCAGUGUCAAACCGCAGGAAGUUUACUAGCAGGAAUCCUCAAAAAUCAGUGUUGGGAUCAACUUAAAAAAAAAAGUCCAAGUAUAAAGAAAUGAAGUACUAAUUCUGCAGUUUCCAUUAAGCCAGAAAACAGUCACUACAAAAGAAGAAUAACUGAUUUUUUUCUUACUUAAAACACACAUGCACAAGUAUUUUGUAUACACACACACAUAAAGGACGUAUUAUAAAUACAAUAUCAUAUUUUACAAGAAGAGAAAAAAUCAUGGCUCCAUAAAGGCCUGAAUGUGUGAGCGUGUGGCUUUGCCUGAAAUUCCAUGCAAGUUCUUCAACACUCAGAGUCAAGAAAAUAUGCUAAAUCUAAAACAACUGCUGAGAAGGCAACUGCAAUGCUCAGCAGAGUGGAGAGCCAUCACUCCAGGAACGGAAUUAAAAGUUUUGCUGGUUUUGUAAGGGAAUGCAAAAAGCUGAAAGGCAUUAUAGCUGAUGUCUAUAAAUGUAUUAUUAUACACCAGGUUGGAAAACAUCUGUAUGAACUUAUGGGAUGAAGCUGAAAAAAAAAAAAGAAAAGCAUCUUGUGUUCAGAUAAGAAAUACGGAAGUGAUUCUAACAAUCAGAAUUGUGAAAUUUCAAAACAGACUUCCUAAAUUUGUGUUAAGAGUAAAAAACUAAACAAAAACUACUGCAUUUUAAUGGAGAAUUAUUCUUUUAUUAAAGUCAUUGCACCUGGUCAGCUAUGCAAUUAGAAAACUAGAUUCAAGAUAUUCCUUACUUUUUUCCCCAGUUUGCAUUGAACAUAUUGACCUGUCAUAUGUCUUCUCCCUCCCAGUUUUUUAGUGCCAAUCAGUAUCUUUGUUGUUGCUGAAGAAUUGAGCAGAUUCAAUGGUGCGUCACCUAAGAAUAGGCUGUCCAUUGAUUCACUGUGCAGUCUUUCCAUUUCUACCCUUUAUUCUGAAACAUGCCUGAUGAGGAAAGAUUCUGAUACGGGUACAGUGAUUAUCUUGGCAUCUGGCACAGAACCUAUUAGGCCCUCCAUCCAAGACAACUAAUAAAAAGGAGUAUUGAAAGGUACAAGGCACAAGAUAACAUAGCACAAAGAGACAAGAGUACAGUUUACCAAGAAAAUGUUUCUGAAGCAAAAGAACGAGAAAAGUGCAUUACCUUUUAGCUUGACUGUGAUCAUAGAACAAGUCAGGCAGUGUCAGAGUGAAGGAUGUAGGAAAGAUUAAAGAAAACGGACAAAGAAACGCAGAAACAUUUUUGACUUUACAAGAGGCUUGAUUUUGAUUCACUUAUAAAAGAGGGCCCUUUGAUUUAUUUAGAUCCACGUGAACUUCCUUGCUCAGCAAUUGUACAACCUGUUAACAAUUCUCUGCUGAUUAGACAAUGGGAAAAUAGAAAAGAACCAGUCAUGGUUAUAGCAGCAGAAAAGCCAUGUACAUUCUAACAACUGGCUAUCACCUUCACAGGACAUUGCUACAUUCCAGAGAGAAAAGUCCAGCAGAAGCAGCUAAGUACCUACAAGACAGAUGAAUAUGCAAAGACAUGAAUGUGCUUGCUGUUUGUGCUUUGUUUAUUUCCAUUCCCAAUAUUGGUGGACAUGAACAUCAACAAUAAGCAAACACAUUCAGAUGAAUUAAAAGCUCCUGGAUUUCUCAUAACUUAUCAUGAAUUUAUAUUAAAACUGUAACUAAAACCCAUUCACCAAAAUUAUCAGUAAAAAAAAAAUUAUCUGAAGUACUUCCAGCGUGCCCAGAGCCAAUAAAUU
RNAcentral lists this long non-coding RNA (5556 nucleotides) under Gallus gallus (chicken). RNAcentral describes it as "lncRNA (ENSGALG00010024455.1)". Lineage: Eukaryota; Metazoa; Chordata; Aves; Galliformes; Phasianidae. The record is from RNAcentral.